RNAcentral lists this ribosomal RNA (821 nucleotides) under uncultured fungus. Its description in RNAcentral is "eukaryotic LSU rRNA". The stretch from base 453 to 821 matches the Rfam family "Eukaryotic large subunit ribosomal RNA", at positions 1 to 366 of the family's 3401-position model. The record is from RNAcentral. Lineage: Eukaryota; Fungi.
CGCGAGGUGACUCUCCACCCUAUGUUAAUUAUACCUUUGUUGCUUUGGCGAGCCGCUCCGGCCACCGGCUUCUCGCUGGUGAGUGCUCGCCAGAGGACCCUAAACUCUGUUUAUACAUGUCGUCUGAGUACUAUAUAAUAGUUAAAACUUUCAACAACGGAUCUCUUGGUUCUGGCAUCGAUGAAGAACGCAGCGAAAUGCGAUAAGUAAUGUGAAUUGCAGAAUUCAGUGAAUCAUCGAAUCUUUGAACGCACAUUGCGCCCUGUGGUAUUCCGCAGGGCAUGCCUGUUCGAGCGUCAGUACAACACUCAAGCCCAGCUUGGUCUUGGGCCUCGCCGGAAACGGCGGGCCUUAAAAUCAGUGGCGGCGCCUCUCGGGCCCUAAGCGUAGUAAUACUCCUCGCUACAGGGACCCGGUGGACGCUGGCCAGCAACCCCCAACUUUCUUAAGUUUGACCUCGGAUCAGGUAGGGAUACCCGCUGAACUUAAGCAUAUCAAUAAGCGGAGGAAAAGAAACCAACAGGGAUUACCUCAGUAACGGCGAGUGAAGCGGUAACAGCUCAAAUUUGAAAUCUGGUCCUUUCAGGGCCCGAGUUGUAAUUUGUAGAAGAUGCUUCGAGCGUGGCACCGGUCUAAGUUCCUUGGAACAGGACGUCAUAGAGGGUGAGAAUCCCGUAUGCGACUGGCCGCCUUUGUUCAUGUGAAGCUCUUUCGACGAGUCGAGUUGUUUGGGAAUGCAGCUCANAAUGGGUGGUAUAUUUCAUCUAAAGCUAAAUAUUGGCCAGAGACCGAUAGCGCACAAGUAGAGUGAUCGAAAGAUG